RNAcentral lists this ribosomal RNA (255 nucleotides) under uncultured bacterium. Its description in RNAcentral is "partial 16S ribosomal RNA". It matches the Rfam family "Bacterial small subunit ribosomal RNA", at positions 524 to 776 of the family's 1533-position model. The record is from RNAcentral.
GACGUAGGGCGCGAGCGUUGUCCGGAUUUAUUGGGCGUAAGAGCUCGUAGGCGGCUUGUCGCGUCGACUGUGAAAAACCCGUGGCUCAACCAUGUGGUCUGCAGUCGAUACGGGCAGGCUAGAAUUCGGUAGGGGAGACUGGAAUUCCUGGUGUAGCGGUGAAAUGCGCAGAUAUCAGGAGGAACACCAGUGGCGAAGGCGAGUCUCUGGCACGCAUCUGACGCUGAAAACACGAAAGCCAGGGGAGCGAACGGG